RNAcentral lists this ribosomal RNA (460 nucleotides) under uncultured bacterium. RNAcentral describes it as "partial 16S ribosomal RNA". It matches the Rfam family "Bacterial small subunit ribosomal RNA", at positions 338 to 795 of the family's 1533-position model. The record is from RNAcentral.
CCUACGGGAGGCCGCAGUGAGGAAUAUUGGUCAAUGGACGAGAGUCUGAACCAGCCACGUAGCGUGAAGGAUGACUGCCCUAUGGGUUGUAAACUUCUUUUGUAAGGGAAUAAAACGAGGCACGUGUGCCUUUUUGCAUGUACUUUAUGAAUACAGAACGGCUAACUACGUGCCGGCAGCCGCGGUAAUACGGAGGAGCCGAGCGUUAUCCGGAUGUAUUGGGUUUAAAGGGAGCGUAGAUGGGUUGUAAAGUCAGUUGUGAAAGCUUGCGGCUCAACCGUAGAACUGCAAUGGAUACUGGCAGGCUGGAGUACAGGUGAGGUAAGCGGAAUUCGUGGUGUAGCGGUGAAAUGCGUAGAUAUUAGGAAGAACCCCAGUUGCGAAGGCAGCUUACUAAACUGUGACUGACAUUGAUGCUCGAAAGUGUGGGGAGCAAACAGGAUUAGAUACCCUAGUAGUC